UACGGAGGGUGCGAGCGUUAAUCGGAAUUACUGGGCGUAAAGCGCAUGUAGGCGGUUUGAUCAGUCGGAUGUGAAAUCCCCGGGCUUAACUUGGGAACUGCAUUCGAUACUGUCAGGCUAGAGUAGGCUAGAGGAAAGGGGAAUUCCGCGUGUAGCAGUGAAAUGCGUAGAUAUGCGGAGGAACACCAAUGGCGAAGGCACCUUUCUGGGGUCAUACUGACGCUGAGAUGCGAAAGCGUGGGGAGCAAACAGGAUUAGAUACCCGCGUAGUCC
RNAcentral lists this ribosomal RNA (273 nucleotides) under uncultured bacterium. RNAcentral's name for it is "partial 16S ribosomal RNA". It matches the Rfam family "Bacterial small subunit ribosomal RNA", at positions 524 to 796 of the family's 1533-position model. The record is from RNAcentral.